Molecule: ribosomal RNA, 449 nt
Filed under: uncultured bacterium
Lineage: Bacteria
Description: bacterial SSU rRNA
Rfam family: Bacterial small subunit ribosomal RNA
Source: RNAcentral
ACUCCUACGGGAGGCAGCAGUGGGGAAUCUUGGACAAUGGGCGCAAGCCUGAUCCAGCCAUGCCGCGUGAGCGAUGAAGGCCUUAGGGUCGUAAAACUCUUUCGCCAGGGAUGAUAAUGACAGUACCUGGUAAAGAAACCCCGGCUAACUCCGUGCCAGCAGCCGCGGUAAUACGGAGGGGUUAGCGUUGUUCGGAAUUACUGGGGCGUAAAGCGCGCGUAGGCGGACUAGUUAGUCAGAGGUGAAAUCCCGGGGGCUCAACCCCGGAACUGCCUUUGAUACUGCUAGUCUUGAGUUCGAGAGAGGUGAGUGGAAUUCCGAGUGUAGAGGUGAAAUUCGUAGAUAUUCGGAGGAACACCAGUGGCGAAGGCGGCUCACUGGCUCGAUACUGACGCUGAGGUGCGAAAGUGUGGGGAGCAAACAGGAUUAGAUACCCUGGUAGGAUAGCG